Molecule: ribosomal RNA, 348 nt
Filed under: uncultured bacterium
Lineage: Bacteria
Description: bacterial SSU rRNA
Rfam family: Bacterial small subunit ribosomal RNA
Source: RNAcentral
GGGCCCGCACAAGCGGUGGAGCAUGUGGUUUAAUUCGAUGAUACGCGAGGAACCUUACCAGGGCUUAAAUGUAGUGGGACAGGUCUAGAGAUAGACCUUUCUUCGGACUCAUUACAAGGUGCUGCAUGGUUGUCGUCAGCUCGUGCCGUGAGGUGUCAGGUUAAGUCCUAUAACGAGCGCAACCCCUAUCGUUAGUUGCCAGCGGGUAAUGCCGGGAACUCUAGCGAAACUGCCCGUGAUAAGCGGGAGGAAGGUGUGGAUGACGUCAAGUCCUCAUGGCCCUUACGGGUUGGGCUACACACGUGCUACAAUGGCAUCUACAGUGGGUUAAUCCCCAAAAUGAUGUCU